This 489-nucleotide ribosomal RNA is filed under the name uncultured bacterium. Its description in RNAcentral is "bacterial SSU rRNA". It matches the Rfam family "Bacterial small subunit ribosomal RNA", at positions 41 to 507 of the family's 1533-position model. The record is from RNAcentral.
GGCGUGCUUAACACAUGCAAGUCGAACGCGAACGUUUCCUUCGGGGAACAAGUAGAGUGGCGCACGGGUGAGUAACGCGUAAGUAACCUGUCCUCGCAUCUGGGAUAACCCACCGAAAGGUGUGCUAAUACCUGAUACGUCUGGAAUUAUACUUUGGAUUCAGAGAAAGAUGGCCUCUGAUAUAAGCCAUUGUGCGAGGAGGGGCUUGCGUACCAUUAGCUAGUCGGUAGGUAACGGCCUACCGAGGCAAUGAUGGUUAGCGGGUCUGAGAGGAUGAUCCGCCACACUGGAACUGGAACACGGACCAGACUCCUACGGGAGGCAGCAGUGAGGAAUAUUGCGCAAUGGGGGCAACCCUGACGCAGCGACGCCGCGUGGAUGAUGAAGGCCUUCGGGUUGUAAAAUCCUGUCAGAUGGGAAGAAGUGCAUCAUGUUUAAUAGAUGUGGUGUUUGACGGUACCAUCAAAGGAAGCACCGGCUAACUCCGUG